CCGGCGACCGGCGCACGGGUGAGUAACACGUAUGCAACCUGCCCUCCGCAGGGGGAUAACCCGGAGAAAUCCGGACUAAUACCGCGUGGUACACCAGUGGGGCAUCCCACUGGUGUUAAAAGGAAGUGAUUCCGGCGGAGGAUGGGCAUGCGGCGCAUUAGCUUGUUGGCGGGGUAACGGCCCACCAAGGCAACGAUGCGUAGGGGUUCUGAGAGGAAGGUCCCCCACACUGGUACUGAGGCACGGACCAGACUCCUACGGAAGGCAGCAG
RNAcentral lists this ribosomal RNA (271 nucleotides) under uncultured bacterium. RNAcentral's name for it is "partial 16S ribosomal RNA". It matches the Rfam family "Bacterial small subunit ribosomal RNA", at positions 88 to 354 of the family's 1533-position model. The record is from RNAcentral.